Molecule: RNA transcript, 15257 nt
Organism: Gallus gallus (chicken)
Lineage: Eukaryota; Metazoa; Chordata; Aves; Galliformes; Phasianidae
Gene: AGTR2
Gene name: angiotensin II receptor type 2
Exons: 3
Source: RefSeq, a predicted model, not a curated record
AUUCCUGACAGCAGCACUGUCAUGCUAAAGACAGACCCUGGAACUGGACUGUAUUAGUUCACAUUCUUGAAGUGUGCACAGUCGAUCAGAAGUUGCUACUUGAAUAAUGGACUGCACUGUGGAUGCUGGAUGAAGGACAGAGCAAGAACUUCUAGCAGCCAUUUGCACACAGAGCAAUUAGCAGCAACAGCUCCUAGCUGAGCGUGUCCUGUCACAUAUGGUUGGUAAAAUAUUUAAUGGAUUUGGGUAAGAGUGAGUGCUGACAGCUCACACCACUCUUCUGGGAGCCAGUAGUCCUCCAGACCUGUGGCAGGGUGUGUAAGAGGAAGCUUGGCUGCAUUUCAUUUGCUUUGCAGCAGGGCACGUAUCCUUUGCAUUUGUACAUCCGAUGUGCUGCAGCUGACCUGUUCUGUGCAUGUUUGGUUUGAAAAGGGGAUGGAGUUCUUAGAACGUGUGUUUAAUGCCCCUUGAGCAAAGCUGCUGUCUCCCAGCGCUGGUUGUGGUAUGUCUGAACUGAGUGCAAAUUUUUUGUCUUAAAGUUUAUUAGUUAAGUCCUGACUUUUUCAGCCCCUGAGCUAUUAUGGGUAUUAUUAUUUGUAAGGGCAAUCACUGGGCUUUUCCCCAGCCACCAUGGUUGGAUACCCCCCACUGCAUGGGGGGCAUUCUGUGGCUGCUUUCACCUGGCAAGUGCAGCCUGCACGGCCUCAACAGGAGAUGGGCUGUUGCUGCAGAGAUCACACUCAGAGUACAAAAUGUUUAAGGCUAAUGGAUGAUUUCUUUGCCUCAGUGUUUAUUCUCCUGCAGCCCUCUUGGACAAGGCAGGAACUUCUUGUAGAGGGAGCCUGGCUGUCAGGCAGAACGUGAGAGGUGAGGAGGAAGCAGAUGGAAAAACUCAGCUUUGCAUGGAUGAGAAGUUAGUAUGACUUCACAUUCUUGCUGAUCUGCUAACUUUGAUCACGCACUCCCCCUCUGCAGCCUCAGAUCCAAACUUCUCCCUGCCACGUGGAUUUUUCCUGCUGCCCUCUUCCAUCUGAGCAGUGUGUUUAACAUUUCACGGACUUGGGCAGCAUCUUUACAUGCUACUAACUGGGAGACAGGCUCAGCGUCCUUACAUAAGAAGUGCUGGUGUGGAUGCUGUGAUGUUCCUCUGCUUUCUGCCUCUGUACAUUCACAUUACAGUCAGUUCUGCCAGCACUAGCAGCCCAUUCAUCUCCCAAAUGUGCCAGCAAGCACUGGGACUCCAUACAGUGUGUGGGAAUCCCUCUGCCUGCAGAAAAGCACAAAUCCUUGCAUUCAGGCUCACAUGUGUUUCAUGUACAAUGGAGGGGGUGGAGGUGGGGCAGAAGGGAGCCGUGUCUGGGUGUUUUCUCUUGGCCCAAGCGCUGCUGGAGAAACCUGCAGUGAUAUUUAAGUGGAUUUCCUUUUGCUUGCUUGCUCUUUUUUUUUUUUUCUUUUGGUUGUCUUGCUCCUCUCUCCUGAUUUACUGCAUUUGCUCACGUGGCUUUGGAAAGGGGGGUUCUGAAGGCGUUCUGCUUCCAAAAGGAAAAGGAGCUGGCAGGCGUUCAUAUUUCACUUCUCAAGUUAUGUAGGGUAAAGUCUCCCGGUGGGAAAAGGGGAGAUAUAAGAGAGCAGAGAGCUGGUGGUGAUACGUGCCAGAAGGAAAACAGCAAAGAGGAGCGCGUAACUCUGGAGCUACUCACAUCCAGACCGAAGUGAGGUUUCAGAGGUGAGCGAUGUGACAGCAAAGUGCUGAUAGCACAUGAAUUUCCUACAGAACCUCCCUUUCUACCAGCACCAACAUGCAGAGCAACUACUCCAUGGGCAUCACCACCAGGGAAACCCUCCAGAUCCUCUAUACAGCACAGGCAAACUCAUCGGCUGUGUUACGCUCGCCGCCUCCCUGCCCGCUGACCUCUUCCAGUUAUCAGUUUUCAUUAAUUCCAGCAUUCUUCUCUGUGGUUUUUGCUCUGGGUUUGGUUGGCAAUAGCGUGGUGGUUGUGGUGCUCUGUCAUCGCAGUAGCCCCAGAACAGUUGCUAAUAUCUACAUUUUCAACUUGGCUAUGGCAGAUCUGCUGUGCCUUGCCACCCUUCCCUUUUGGGCUACCUAUUAUGCACAGGGGUACAACUGGAUCUUUGGAUCUCUCAUGUGUAAAAUCUCCAGCUCUGUCCUGUGUCUGAACAUGUUUGCAAGCAUAUUUUUCAUCACAUGCAUGAGCGUGGACAGGUACCAUGCAAUUGUCCACCCUAUCCGCUCCCAAAGAAGAACUCCGCAUCAGGCGUAUUUUAUAGCACUGGUUGUGUGGGGACUUGCCUGUUUGUCCUCCCUCCCAACUUUUUAUUUCCGUGACACACACUACAUCAAAAGCAUGGAAGUGAAAGCUUGCAUCAUGGCAUUUCCUCACGAGAGUUAUGCGGAGUGGUCUGUGGGAACAGCCUUCCUGAAAAAUGCACUUGGCUUCUUCAUCCCCUUGGCAGUGAUCACCACGUGCUAUGUCUGGAUCAGGAGGCACCUGAUACAAGCACAGGAGUUUGGCAAAAACAAGCAGAAGAGGGACAAAGUCCUAAAGCUGGUGGCUGCUGUUGUUGUGGCCUUCUUAAUUUGCUGGCUCCCAUUCCACAUUUUGACGUUUUUGGAUGCCCUGGCUCAUAUGAACAUCAUUGACAACUGUGAUGUGACAGGGGUCAUCGACACAGCACUGCCAUUUGGCAUCUGCAUGGCUUUUGCCAACAGCUGCGUCAACCCUUUGGUGUACUGCUUUAUUGGGAACCAGUUCCAGGAGAAGCUCCAUCGCUUGUUUAAGCGACGAGUUUACCAGUUCAACAGCCAACGAGAGAGCUCUUCUUUGAGGAAAGGGAGCUGCUUCCGAGACACUGAGAUAGCAGUGGGCAGGGAGAGGGAGCCCGAGUCCCCAUUGUGACAUGGGGCUGUGUCAGUACAGCUUCUGCUGUGAGGACACUCCUCUCUCCUGCUUCUUCCAUUUUGUGAUCGUUCAGUCAUCACCUAUUUGAAGGAGAGUCUUUUCCUCAUCCAUGAGGAUCUAUCCUUCCUUCUUUUCCACAGUGAGCACUCAAGUUUUAAGCAGAGGGAGGAUUCUGGCAAGGAACUCACUUGAUGGCAUUUUAAGUACCAGCUAAUAUGGGGCUGAGAUCAAGCAAGUGCUUAAUGUAACACAGAAAGACAAAAUAGACCAAAGAAACCUGGCACGGUAGCUACAACUGCAUGGGUACUGAGUAGCACACCUGGCUACACUGAUUUUCUGAAAGAGAUUCUCACUUGAGAAUGUGUAAAUAAAGCAGUGAUGAUACUUUUGUACCUGUAUAUAGGAAAAUAUUAGACUUUUAUGAUAUACAUAUAUGUUGUUUUGAAAAUGUACAGUUAGGUAUAAUGUAUGUUAAAUGCAUCAGAUAUGCUUCCUGCUCCUGCCCAGUGUCCUGAGAACACAUGGAGACGUGGAUCUACAAAUUGCCAGAGGCAUGAAAGCAUUCCUAGGGGAAAGUGCUACCACAUGCAUGUUUUUAUGACUUUCUCAUAGCAGGUUGCAGGUUUACAGGACAGAUGGUCCUUAGCUCUGCUCCAUUGUGGUCGUUAUUUGAUGGUAACAGCCUGGGGACUGAGCACGCCACGUCCUGGUGCUACGUGCUGAAGUCCCACACACUGCCCAGCAGAUUCAGGGAAAGGGCUUUCUGAUUGUUUGGACUUUUGCAUUUCAAAUGUCGAUCACUACUGUAACUUUUAGGUACUGUAAGCAAAAAGACUGUGACUCUAUGGUAAGACCCAUAAACAAAACCAUGGUGGGACUUCUAAGUGUUAGCCGCAUCUCAGCACAUACCUUUGUAAAUAAGAGAAACGGAGGGAAAAAGAAAGUAUUUGGCAAAUAGGGAUUUUAUUUUGAGGUCAUGUUUGGUUAUUUAAAAUUUGCUUUUGUCAGAUACUGAUCCUUAGCACCAAUCUUGAUCCUUCUGAAACGAUCAGGUUUGAUAGGCUCAUUAUAAAGGAGGGAUCUGAUGGUACCACGAUUGCUUUCCUGCAUGCUGUUCCCAGGCUGAAUGACCCAGAGUGACCAAAAGAUUGCUGGCUUCAGGGAAAUCUGUCCAGCAAGUUAUUCUUGAAGCUUGUCUAAGCACUUCUGGGUCCAUAGGUCAGAAAUUAAACGUGCUGGCAGGGUAACUAAGAUUCUGGCCUCUCUGAAAUCCCAAAGCUGGCUGCUGCCUGGAAGCCAUGGGAACGUGGUGCAAGAGCCAUGCAUCACUGUUAGGGUGAGGGUCAAUUUCUUUACUGGUGCCCAUGAGAAUGGGAUUUUGUGAGAAACCUGCCAGCCUCAAAGUGAUGGGAGAUGAGAAGGUUAUGUGGAACUGGGCCGAAUGAAGGCUUGACCAGGAACAACCCCUUCCUGGUGGUCCUGCCCUGGUGUGGUGUUCUGGUGAUGGGGGGAUGUGGCUGGAGAGAUGCUCGUCCCAGAAAGUGGAAGAGGCGCCGCCGAGUUUCCCCUGGAAUGUUUAUGUUGAACAUGUUCCAACGAGUUAAUAGCGUCUGGGGCGUCGGAUAUUUCUGGAAGGACAAACUGUUAAUUGCUUAGCAGUGAGCAAAACAACACAGUCAUGCUACAGCCAAACAAAUAAUUAUAUGAAGAAAAAUACCAGGUGUACAAAGUGUCCGGCUCAGAGAAGUAAUAAGAGGUUAUGGAGCCUUUUUACCUUUGCUGCGUUACAGAUCAGGUCAGUAAUGAGCACAGCUGUGCCACUAAUUGGUGAGCUCUGUAGUCACAAAACAAAACGAACUACAGGAGUUGACCCCAAUGCUUCCUAUCUGCUACCACGGCAAGACGUGGGUUCAGUGGGUCAGUUUGGACCUGCUCAAAAAGAAGGGCUUUUAACAAGUCUCGUGCCUUCUGCCUGAUGCACAAACCUUCACAGGUAGAAAAAUAUGAGAGGAAUCUGAAGUCUGGCUGCAGUAGCAUUUAUGCCUGAGAGGGGCUGGGAAAGCUUUCCGGAUGGGAGAGCAGCAAAGCAGAAUCUCCCAUUGCUGCAGCCAGAGGGCAGAGAUUAGCGGCUGCUUCCUGGGGCUGAGGCGGUGCGUUCAUCGCUAUCUGCUCAGGGAAAGCAAUGGAAACAAGGAAGUUAGGUGGGAGGUAAGGCUGAGAGGGGAGGAAAAUCACUUCUUUCAAAAAAAAGCCUACCCAGAAGGUCACCUUCUGCAAGAGUGACACAGCAAGAGACCCCGCUGGCUUGGUGCUGAUAUUUCUGCUUGCUGGCUCUGCUUUGCUGCCUAUGGACAGCAAAGAGUGGAGUGUCUUUGCUGAGUGGAGUGAUGCACGUUGUUUUUACCGGGGAAAUUGAAGAGUGUGUGUGGUUGCUCAGUGUCUUAUUUGCUCUGUGAGUGCAGUGAGAUGAAUUUCUGAGCAACAGUUGGAGUUCAGAGGGCUGUGCCUACUCCGUGUAUCAGUACUGAAGAAAGCCUGUUGCAAAGGGGUGAAUGAUGCUCUUCCAGGUGGAAACGUUAAUGGGUUUGGAGUCAAAGCUGAAUGGCAGCUGGGUUUGUUUGGAUAUGGGAAUGUUCUGGAACAAUUCAGGGCCUGUCAGUGUAUUCCUCCCCAGAGAUGGCUGGAAGGGAUGGUUUUUCCUCAGGUUCAUUUGGUCUCUGUCAUAGUUGUACAUACAAUCCUAUUUGCAGCUUUCUUUUCUAGCCAUAUUUGAUUACUGAUAGCUUAAAUGAACUGCAAAGAGCCUUGAUCCAAACUGAGCAUCCUGUGUGCAUCUCUGCGUUGACUUUAAUAUGCAACUUCAAUACAUGAAGCAAGGAAAACCACCGGCAUUUAUUAGCACAAGCCAGUGCUGAGUAGUGAGCUAAAUGCCUUGUUUAUGUAAGAUAUACAAUAAGAGAUGUUUGGUACAGCAUGUUCUCCCUGAGAAGUCAACGCAGCUUGAGCAUGCCCUGGAACACUCUCAGCACAUUUGUCCUGUUCCUCAGGCCAGAUUAUGGGCAGAAAUAUCAUCUUGCUGCCCUGUGGCUGACUGCCACAGCUUGGCUGCUGUCUGUGAUGGGUCCCCUUCUCCUGCCUGUGGGGCACAGAGUGCCAAGGGGCGAGCAAAUUGCUGUGCUCGCUCAUGGAAAUGAGGGCUUUUGGAUAUCAUAAGAGUGUUGCUUUGGCAGGAACACAGGAAAGACACAACGUGGGGAUGAGGUGGUCUGGCAGCCUUCUGUAGAUGCUGGCAGGCUCACUGCUUGCUUCUUGAGCCUGCUUCUCUCAGAGAAAAAUGAAUGCUCUUGUGAUGGGCUGUGCAGCCUGUCCUGGGGUGUGCUCUCCUCAUGUCUCCUUUGGUUUUGCCUUACCUGUGUGAUGCCUGUAUGUGGAAGAAGCCCAGGGUUGCUCUGUUUAGCAUCACAUACCCUUUGCCCCAGAUACAGUGGUUGACAGAUCGCAGUGUUUACUGAGGUGCCUAACUGAGAAGCAGUGCUCCCCCAUUUUGAUAGGUUUCUCAAGAGACAAGAUGAAAGAAGCAAUACAUUUAAAAGAAGCAAGAGUCAAAGCAGGGAUUUGCUUAUUGGGAAAGCACAGGUUUAGUGAGAGGAGUUUCAAGUGAUGCCUAAACCUGUGGGAUACCUGGACAGCAGCCACAAGCUUGGGUGCAUUUCCCUCACCUAGCAAGGUGCUUGCAGACCUUCUCCCACACCAUCAUGUCCACAGCUGUGCUCUGCACCACUCUGCAGCAUUGCAGUGCCCUCACAAGAAGCAGGGCUGGGUGUUGGUGGGCUUAUGUGCAGGAGGCACAUCUGUGGCUGGAGACAGCAAGGACAGGAGCUGGGCUCUGUAGCUCUUCCACAGUGGGAGCCUAGAAGCACUUCCCCACUGUACUUGUGUCCUUCAUAACCCACGGGAUUUCCAUCCAUCCACUCAUCCACCCAUCCAUCCAUCCAUACAGAUAUCCAUCCACCCCUCUCCAUGCCCAGGCUGUAAUUCUGCCAGCUUCAAGUGUCAGCCCUGCUGUCUGUAGAUGGUGGUGUAACUUCCCUCAGCUUCCAAAAUCAGAUUUUUUUUGCUUUGCUGCCUGUCUGUCCCUGGCAGUAAGCUGGGGUGAGAAGCCAGCAAGAGGCUUACACGGGUGAUGCAGCUGCAGUCCUGGCUGAAAUGUUCCUGGGCCCUGGUCUGGAAAGGGAGUGAGCCAGCCCUGCUUGCUGCCUCAUUCAAAUGUUUGCUUUCCAUUUCCUCUGCAGCUGAGAGAGAAUCUGAAUUUGAUACUAUAAGCUCCAGACAGAACACUGUUAAUUCCAAAAACAUUUCACAGGGAUAAACCAGAGCGAUACAGAAGAGGAUGUGGGUCAUAACGCUGCUUUUCCUGCUGUGAGAUAGAUCUGAACCUGCACCUUCACCUCUCUGACAACCAAUAGCUCUUCUGUUUGGGCAAACAUAGGUAUGCAAAGCUCCACUAUAUUCCUUGCAGACAAGAUCCAGUGUGAGUAUUGGUUCCAAAAUGCAUGAGUUGAAAUGUUGUAUUGUCCUUACAGCAAAUAAGAAAGGCAAUAACAAUAUCCAAUUCAGUGUGCUGCAGUGGUGCAAAUGUGACAUAUCCCAUGCAGAUGACCUCCCCCUAGCCCCUGUGCUUUGCCAGCAGAUGCAUGCAAGCAGCUGGCAGCUGAGGUUGGAAGUGGGGAGCCACUGGCCACAGCCAUCCGUGCCCCGCAGUGACCUGCUUGGCAUGGUGCAGUGCCAUGCACAACACACAGCACCCUUCAAAAAUGACAGAAAACCAUCUGCAGUAAGCAUUAGGACAGCGUCCAAACAUGCAGUCCUUUCGCAAUGACAGGAAAGUGAAAAUAAUGAAUACAAAGUGUGCAAGGCAUGCAGCUGUGUCAUGACAGCAUAGGAAAAAUGGAACAGCUACCACUAUCUCUUGAGAAAGCAAAGCGCUUCAUACGUUGCACAAUAGCAGCUUAAGAUCUGCUUCUUCUCGAAUCCUUGAUGAGGUGAUGCUUAUAUGGCAUGUUACUGUUCAGGGUCCUGCAGAACAUGGUAGGUGUUCUUUGCAGGUGCUGAGCAGCGUUGCUCUGCACUCCUUCAACUGCUAUGGUAAGUAAUGUCAGGAAUUUUACACGUUAGGAAAUAGAUCUCAUGACCCUGAUGUUGCCAACAUCAGACCUUGCAAACCCCUUCACUGACUGCAAGAGAUUCCUUACAAAGUAAGGACAGCAGAAUUUGGUUAUCUACACAAAUCCCUACUGUUGUGAACUCAGGGCUUUUAGAGCAUCUCGGAUCCCUUUGUAACAUAAUGUGCUAUCUGUCCUUGUUUCACUGUGUCAGUAAUCUUCCUUUAGAUGAGUAUGUUGUGCAGAAUUUGCUCAAGCCUCUUUGGAAGAGGAUUCCACCAUGUGCUAUUCAGCAUGCAGUAAAUAUGUUUGACAGAAGUCUAGAUGGAAAUGUACUUUCAGACCCAGCUAUAGUUCAUGAUAUAAUCAACAUAUCAAAUAAGAGAAAGAUUGGUUUUUUCUUUCAGAUGUGUGGUAAUAGAGUGCUGUCUGGCAAAGAAAUUAUACAACCUAAGGGAGUUGUUUUCAAGGAAAAAAGAUUGGAGAGUAUGAUACUCAAUGUACUGUAUUAACUGCAGAAAGUCCCAUGGACAUCACUGGCUCUCAGCCCAGGAUUUGGCAGUGAUUUCAUUUUGAUCCUCUUCCCCUAAAGAACUGCAAAGAGGUCUUUCUUUCAUCCCGGAGAUGAAAUUACCCGGAAAAGUCAGGAAUGUUUAUUUCUUCAGCUCAAAGUCCAGGUUGGGUCUGAACUGCAAUAAGACUACCUGCUUGUAGGGGCUCUUCUGCUGAGGUUUACUUUGCAGGCAACUCCCUCCAGGAAUUGGGGUACUGGAAGGAUGGGAAUGCUCUUAAUGUCGGGCUUAUCUGUAGCUGCAAGAGUACCCAGAGCAGACUUCAUGCUGAAGGCAGGAGCAGAGUUUAUCCGUGCCCAAACUGGGUGGUAGAUCACAUUGUUACUGACUGCUAACGCAACCUUUGGGUUAAGCAAGACUCUCCUCAGGCGUACCAUCAAAACAAAAUCCUGCCAUUUGAAAAGAAGUCAGGGGUUCAAGUGGAACGAACAGGGUGGAUUCAGCACGAGGGCAGGUUGAAUGCCUCUGAAUAAUUGCUGGGGAAUGCUGGCAGGUUUUCCUUGGGUCGCAGAGCAGGCGACAGUACUGAGAACAUGUUCUGGUGCACUGGGACACAGAUAGCACGUGGCCUGGUGAGCCACGCUGAUGCGGUUGGAGACACAUGAAGAAUGGUUGUUCCCAGAGCUCCCCCCCUGCUGUGGAUCCUGCCAUAAAUCUUGGUGGUGUUGGUGUUGCUACCCGUGCUUGUCUCACAGCCCUCGCCAUAACCAUGACUGCAGGGCUGUGUGUUUGACCAGCUUAAAGGGUAACAGCCAAUCCAGUCCCUUCUAAUGCUGUGUUUGAGCAGCUCAUAAAGACGUAUUGCAGUGCUGACAGCAUCUACAGGAGUGUUUCUCUGUACUGCAAACGAGUUCAACUCAUUUCUACUUACAGAGGAAGCUGCUGUUCAGCCACACCAUGGCAAAGCAUGCUUUAUUUCCUCAUGUAAUCUCACAUCACAGCACAUUCUGCUCUAACGACCGAACGUGCUUGCAGGCGUUUGUUUAGCACAAAGUUCAUUCUGCAAAAGCACGGUGCUUUUGCAAGAAAGCGAUUGUGCUUUCAUGUGGUUGGGAAAUACUGAAGGGCAAAUUAAGAACCCUUGUCCUGAAGCCAUUUUGCCAGAUUGCUCUCUUGCUGUAGGCAGUGCCUUAUUUCCUCAUUAGCCUCUUCAAGAAAGCUGAAUGCUCCCAUAAAACUACUAUGUGCUGGUCUUUGUGUUAGAAGCUUCAGUCCUAUUAGGAUUUUACUAUCCACGUGAGUCUCUUAAAUGCUCCGUGAUGUGGCACAGCUCUCUGCUUUUUCAGUGGGCAGAAAAAGGCUAUCAUUGCAAUGCAGGAUCUUGGUUCAAAGGGAGAGGUGAGGCUCUGAUGGUGCUUUUGGAAAUUCCUUGGGAAAGCCUAAGAAGGGUAAAGAAGAGCAGCAAUUGUCUCUUCAGAUCCUUUCUGUAUGUUCUCAUGUCUGAGUUGGAUGGAGAGAUAUUGUUUUGUGUUUUUCAGGGGUAAGAUACCACAUGUAUCUCCCAGGAGGUUGCUGUGUGGAUGAGGCAUUGUUCAAAGCUCAGGCUGUUAGCCAGGAUACUCUGUUCCAUACUCUGAUUUACAGUGAAUGCAUUCCAGUUGGGAAACAAUGGGCUAUUUUACAGUAACGAUCUUAAAUCUUAGGUGAACAAAGUUCUAUCAGUUUCCUUUUUUUUCUCCUCAAGACUUUAGGUCAUAUAAUGACAUCUCAGACCUUCUCCAAAAGAAGAAAGGGGCCACCUAAUGCUUAAUUACUGCAGUGGGAAAUCGUUUUCUUGGAAAGUAUGACAUCAACAACAGUACACUAAUAAAAUUAAUUAUUUUUAUUAAAAGGAGAGAGUUGGACGUGGAAAUUCAGAUUGCAACUGACUGUGCUUUUGAAGCUCAAGCUACUGGAAUGGUUGGAGGAGGGUCUCCAUGUAUGGGUUUUCCACUUCAUGUUUCUUUGUUGUCCUCUGGAGAUAAUUUGGUUUUCACUCACUGUCUGCACAGUGAAAUUGGGCUCCUGGCUGGCUGUGCUUAGUCUCACUUGGAUGAGAAAUGUAGAUGACACAGAUGGUUCCCUAAGGUAUGUGUCAAGCAUCUCUGUUAAAUAUUGACUUUGUGCUUUAGGUGUUUGGCUGGUCUUUCGGUGGUACCCUUACUUUCAAAGUAAUCUGCUGUACAAUAGGUGCAGUGUAAUCUCAAUACAAUCACCUUGUCUCUUUAAUUGUGUUCAAGCCCUAUCCUGAAAACACUUCCUCACUGCAGAUAUUCACAAUGCCCGUCAGGGCUUUGUUUUAUCAGUGUGUGCAAGCACAGGGGAUGCUAGCCUACACGUGGACUACACAAGUCAUCGAGAGUUGCCCAUAUUACAGUCCCAGUGGUGUGUAAUGACAGUAGGGUCAAUUUCAUUUCUUGCCUGCCUAAAGUCGCCUCCUAAAACAAAUUCUGCAUAGAAAUGAAGUGUAAAGAAGACAAGAUAAGAUUCCACCUAAAUCUAUACGUUGCUAAAAAGCAACACAGAGGUCAUCAAAAGUUCUCAUGAACUACUUCAGGUGUGUACUUUAUUCUUUGCUGGUGAUGAUCUAUCCGACAGAAAAUGUUCAUUUUGCAUUAACUUUAUAGGCAGCAGUGGGAUGUAUCUCCAUGGCUUUUUCCAUAACACGGCAUAGGAAGAGUGCACUAUAACCAGAGUGUAAGAGCAGUGUGUUUGGCUGCAUUCAUUGCAAUGAGCAGCGCUCCUCUGGCCAUCAUCCAGCCAGCAAGGCUGAGUUCAAUAUUAGAGUUAUAUUUUCAAUAUGUGCAGUCACCCAAAGCAAAUUUGCUGGGCCUUUCUGGUAUAAAUUUAACCUUCUUCUAUCUGAAACAAAAUAAUUCCUUCAGUAAAUAAAUAUCACCAGGCAGACUUAUCAGCAGCAACCUUUCCUUUCCUGCAGCUUGCACAGUCCUCCAGUGCUCUCUGUCUUGUGCAAUUGAGGAAAUGUUCUUAAACCAUUCACAUACAAGAACUGAAGGAAUGCCCCAGAGCUUUUCUGAUAAGCUUCAGAAUUCCGAUAGUAGUAAUGUCUUAACUUUCCAAACCUGAAGAAAUAAUAUAGAUAAACUUGCACACAGAACAAACACACACGGACAAAAAUGCUGCAUUUCAGCCAAGAGGGAACAUUCCUUUGUGAGGCUAUUUUUAACAAGAUGCCAUCAGAUAAUUUUUGUUUUUUUUUUUUUUUUUGCAACAUCCAACAAAAGCUGAAGUUAUUAUUGAGAAAUAUGAUGCUGCCCACCAGCCACGUUCACUCCAAUAACUCCUGAUGAAAGACCAAAUUUCUCUUUGCUUCCCCAUUCCCCCCCUUGCUUUUCUGUAAGCCCAUUGAAGCUGGCUUUUAGAAGCUCCGAAGUCAGCAUUUCGGAGCUGAACUUGACUGUCCUUGCCUCAAGUAGGGUUAGAGCCAGUCACACUUGUUAGCAAUUAUCUCAUCAGUUCUACUUUUUUUGCUGCUUUUUUACCUAUCCAAACUUACAUUUUUAUCUUGCAAAUCUCUGGCCGUCUCUACUUUGGCAUCUUUCUAUCUGGCUUACAGCUCUCACAGUGCUUUAGCACUGCAUUCCAGAACUGAAGGUAGAUUUUGUGUCUGAUUUACCCACCUCUUGCCUCUUGUACAUGGCUACUUUCCUACUCCUGAUAUUCUUCGGUUUCAGUGGAACAAGUCAAGAUUUGUUUUCUGUUUUUCUCCUGAUAGAAUACAUGUUUUGCUGUUGAUUUUGAUCUUGUAACAUAGCACAGUAUAUACAGCAGGGCGCAAGAGCUGGUUGUUAACCUUGUGAUUGUUCCAAAGGUGUUAACGUUGUCUUCCUUUCCAUAAAUCCAUUACACAAAUAAGCAGAGCAGUGCUGGGAGGAAAAAACCCACAGGAUCAUCCAGUCCAAACAUCCACCCAUCAUCCAAAUGUUGCUUGAACACCUCCAGGGUCGGUGACUCCACCGCCUCUCUGGGCAGCCCAUUCCAGUGCCUGACCACCCUUUCAGAGCAGUAGUAUUUCCUAACGUCCAGCCUGAACCUUCCCUGGCGCAGCUUGAAGCCAUUCCCUCUAGUCCUAUCACUGGUUAUACAAGAGAAGAGGCUGACCCCCAGCUCACUACAACCUCCCUUCAGGUAGUUGUAGAGGGCAGUAAGAUCUCCCCUGAGCCUCCUCUUCUCCAGACUGAACAAUCCCAGCUCCUUCAGCCGCUCCUCAUAAGGCCUGUGCUCCAGACCAAAACUAGCGGAGUAUGUCCAAGAUUUUUCAUCCUGUAGCUUUGUAAGAGUCAGCUCCUUUUUCACAACAGCCUGAACUUGUGUGAGUCAUAAAAAGCAAUUAUUUGUGUAGGUGUAACUUGGGUGUAAUGCUCCCCUGGAUCUCUGUAGAGAUUGCAAAGAGAAAACUACCCCCAAAUACUAUGUCAUGAAAAAUCUGCCACGUACUUCCUGAAGAACUGGUCAGGUGUUGCUGUAGUGUGAUCCUCUAACAUUUUUGCUGCAGGGCUUAAUCCUCUGAACAGGCAUUUCUCUAACUCUCAGCAAGGUCUUCAGGGACACCAAUGACAGCGUUUCCUUUUCUUUCUCCCAUCAGGAGGCAUGUUGGGCUUUUUACUGUCACUUGUUUUGAUGGUGGGAAGGAAACUGCUGCUGGGAGCACCUGGGAAGGGUGUGGGGGGAAAGGUUGCUGUCGUAUUUACCUUUGGAUGGAGGGAGGGAGGGAAAGGGACUGCUCAGUAUUUGUUUUUGAUCUGGCAGCUAACAGGUUCCUGAUAUGAUUCCAGCUCUUUGGAAGUGUUGUCUCAUGCAGUCAGACUCUCCCUAUUGGGCAACAGUUUUGUUGCUCCUCAGGAGCGUAACUGUCUUGGAACAGUGCAGCCGGAGCACAGAGUAACAACAGGGCAAGGGACUACAGAGCUGGCUCCCAUCUUGGGCCUCUGAGUGGCAAGGUCUGAUUGGAGCAGCUGGGAAGGGUUGGCACAGAGCUGGCCGUGCCUGGCUGCUGCAGUGCUCUAGGAGAUCUCCAGCUAACCAGAGCUGUGCUCAGCAGCCUCAUAGCUGAGAGAGCCCAUUCUGCUCCUUCUGGGCAUGAUAGCUGGACCAGAGCCACAUGAGUGGGAACGUUCCUCCCAACUACAGCUAUGUGCAAGUCAACAAAGGUCCCAGCAGUGCUUAUCAACUGAGGAGUAUGAGGGCAGAGCCUUUUAGGAGGGGUCUUUCCUACACAGGAGGAAGGUUUUUCAUGUUCUCCUUGCUGUUGCAUGAUGGUGGGUAGGUUGCUAUGCCAUUCUCAGUGCACACCGUGCCCAAGCGUCCCACAGUCAUACGCAGUGACACCAGAUGCAGAGCACGUGGGCUUCCUGCUGGUGGAGGCAGACUGUGGGGCUUGAAUGUUCCUGAAGUGCAGUCCCGAGACAGGAUGGAUGUGGUAGGAUAGGGGCCUAGGAGGAAGGAGGAGAUUUCAAUGACACCUUUACUUUCUGCCUCAGCAGAAACACCUUUAUCUUGAGGUGAAAUCCUCCUUCCUCCACCCUUUCAGUGAGGUCACUGUAGAUGAGGAAUGCGCUUAUGAGUUUUGGGAGAGAGAAAAACACCCCCUCCCACACCCUCAGAGCCUACAUUGCCCUGAGAUUUAAUAACAUGUUGCCUGCUGGUAUCAUGGUAAUUUCAUGAGAGGUUAAACAGUAUCAUCUGUUACUGGCAGCCCUCCUCACUCCAGUCUGGGUCUGCUAUCAGCUUCUGAGAGGCUGCCAGAAGUCCAGUUUCAGUGUCUGGAAGGACUGCAGAGAUGGACAUUCCCCUUGUACGUGGUCCUGCCCAUUCUACCUCUGGUGCAAUCCUUGAGCAUGUGUUGGGGAGCAAGCUGGCAGCACAAUCAAGCUUUGCCUUCUGAUAACAUUUUGCUAAAGCAUCCCACAUCUGAUCAGGUCUGGGACUCCCAGUCUGAGGCUGGAAAGACAAAUUUCAGGUGGAUUUGCUGGUGGGUGAGGAGAAGGAGGAAGUUGAGACAUGCAUUUUGGUUGAAUAAUGGAGAAGCAUCUGCCUCUUCACCCCACUGCAUUCAGAUGGAGCACAGGCUCUGGGCUCUGCUUGUGUUUAGGCUCACCAGUUACUGAGACUGAAGGCUACAUAAACUUAUACGUGCAACUUUUUGGGUUAAACACACAUAACUUUUAACACUGUACCAGUCCUACUGAAGAAUCAGACAGGUGUAAGGUCUCAAGUUGCUCUGCACUGCAGAAUGCUAUGCAGAGAUAACCUUAGGUGAGAUACGUAACACAUUAUUGUCCUCUCUGUUUUAUAUAAGAGGAAACAGAAAGAUGAAAUUGCCCUCUCAAGCUGAGUGUCCGCAUUCCUGGCAUGUCCCAGCCUCCUACAUCCUCACUGGCUGCUGUGGGUACAGAAUGAAGAUGGAAAUUGGGCAGCAGUGUCAGACUCAAGUGGAUGUUCUUAGUUUCAAGCUUGAUGCUUUGUCAAACAAGCCAUAUGUUUUCAGUUUGAAAAUUUGUAAGAACUACAUAAGCCAUGAGAAAUAUGAAACUGUGCCAGUAAUUCCAUUUAUCUCACUUGAUUUUGCAAUAAUAGUAACAGUAAAAUAGUCCGUUUAGAAA